AGACCCGAAACCCGGUGAUCUAGCCAUGGGCAGGUUGAAGGUUGGGUAACACUAACUGGAGGACCGAACCGACUAAUGUUGAAAAAUUAGCGGAUGACCUGUGGCUGGGGGUGAAAGGCCAAUCAAACCGGGAGAUAGCUGGUUCUCCCCGAAAGCUAUUUAGGUAGCGCCUCGUGAAUUCAUCUCCGGGGGUAGAGCACUGUUUCGGCUAGGGGGCCAUCCCGGCUUACCAACCCGAUGCAAACUGCGAAUACCGGAGAAUGUUAUCACGGGAGACACACGGCGGGUGCUAACGUCCGUCGUGAAGAGGGAAACAACCCAGACCGCCAGCUAAGGUCCCAAAGUCAUGGUUAAGUGGGAAACGAUGUGGGAAGGCCCAGACAGCCAGGAUGUUGGCUUAGAAGCAGCCAUCAUUUAAAGAAAGCGUAAUAGCUCACUGGUCGAGUCGGCCUGCGCGGAAGAUGUAACGGGGCUAAACCAUGCACCGAAGCUGCGGCAGCGACACUUUAGUGUUGUUGGGUAGGGGAGCGUUCUGUAAGCCGUUGAAGGUGUGUCGUGAGGCAUGCUGGAGGUAUCAGAAGUGCGAAUGCUGACAUAAGUAACGAUAAAGCGGGUGAAAAGCCCGCUCGCCGGAAGACCAAGGGUUCCUGUCCAACGUUAAUCGGGGCAGGGUGAGUCGACCCCUAAGGCGAGGCCGAAAGGCGUAGUCGAUGGGAAACGGGUUAAUAUUCCCGUACUUGGUGUUACUGCGAAGGGGGGACGGAGAAGGCUAUGUUGGCCGGGCGACGGUUGUCCCGGUUUAAGCGUGUAGGCUGGUUUUCCAGGCAAAUCCGGAAAAUCAAGGCUGAGGCGUGAUGACGAGGCACCACGGUGCUGAAGCAACAAAUGCCCUGCUUCCAGGAAAAGCCUCUAAGCAUCAGGUAACAUCAAAUCGUACCCCAAACCGACACAGGUGGUCAGGUAGAGAAUACCAAGGCGCUUGAGAGAACUCGGGUGAAGGAACUAGGCAAAAUGGUGCCGUAACUUCGGGAGAAGGCACGCUGACACGUAGGUGAAGUGAUUUACUCAUGGAGCUGAAGUCAGUCGAAGAUACCAGCUGGCUGCAACUGUUUAUUAAAAACACAGCACUGUGCAAACACGAAAGUGGACGUAUACGGUGUGACGCCUGCCCGGUGCCGGAAGGUUAAUUGAUGGGGUCAGCGCAAGCGAAGCUCCUGAUCGAAGCCCCGGUAAACGGCGGCCGUAACUAUAACGGUCCUAAGGUAGCGAAAUUCCUUGUCGGGUAAGUUCCGACCUGCACGAAUGGCGUAAUGAUGGCCAGGCUGUCUCCACCCGAGACUCAGUGAAAUUGAACUCGCUGUGAAGAUGCAGUGUACCCGCGGCAAGACGGAAAGACCCCGUGAACCUUUACUAUAGCUUGACACUGAACAUUGAGCCUUGAUGUGUAGGAUAGGUGGGAGGCUUUGAAGCGUGGACGCCAGUCUGCGUGGAGCCGACCUUGAAAUACCACCCUUUAAUGUUUGAUGUUCUAACGUGGACCCGUAAUCCGGGUUGCGGACAGUGUCUGGUGGGUAGUUUGACUGGGGCGGUCUCCUCCUAAAGAGUAACGGAGGAGCACGAAGGUUGGCUAAUCCUGGUCGGACAUCAGGAGGUUAGUGCAAUGGCAUAAGCCAGCUUGACUGCGAGCGUGACGGCGCGAGCAGGUGCGAAAGCAGGUCAUAGUGAUCCGGUGGUUCUGAAUGGAAGGGCCAUCGCUCAACGGAUAAAAGGUACUCCGGGGAUAACAGGCUGAUACCGCCCAAGAGUUCAUAUCGACGGCGGUGUUUGGCACCUCGAUGUCGGCUCAUCACAUCCUGGGGCUGAAGUAGGUCCCAAGGGUAUGGCUGUUCGCCAUUUAAAGUGGUACGCGAGCUGGGUUUAGAACGUCGUGAGACAGUUCGGUCCCUAUCUGCCGUGGGCGCUGGAAGACUGAGGGGGGCUGCUCCUAGUACGAGAGGACCGGAGUGGACGCAUCACUGGUGUUCGGGUUGUCAUGCCAAUGGCACUGCCCGGUAGCUAAAUGCGGAAAAGAUAAGUGCUGAAAGCAUCUAAGCACGAAACUUGCCCCGAGAUGAGUCUUCCCUGAGACUUUGAGUCUCCUGAAGGAACGUUAAAGACGAUGACGUUGAUAGGCCGGGUGUGUAAGCGCAGCGAUGCGUUGAGCUAACCGGUACUAAUGAACCGUGAGGCUUAACCUUACAA
RNAcentral lists this ribosomal RNA (2241 nucleotides) under Salmonella enterica. Its description in RNAcentral is "partial 23S ribosomal RNA". It matches the Rfam family "Bacterial large subunit ribosomal RNA", at positions 711 to 2925 of the family's 2925-position model. Lineage: Bacteria; Pseudomonadati; Pseudomonadota; Gammaproteobacteria; Enterobacterales; Enterobacteriaceae. The record is from RNAcentral.